GAAGGAAAAACAUACAACCAGAGUUCAAAGGAUCAUAGUGGAAGAACGAGAAUGGAACAGAAGAAAAAAAUGGACCAAGGCGAGCAUAACUGUCUAAAUCCAAGGACAGGAUUUUAAAUACCAGCACAGAUCAACUUAAAACAGAUUCUCUCUUAAGCUUUACCUCAGGAUGAUGUCCAAUUUCAACGUAGGUGCAAAUUGGAUGAAAAGCCCCCGUUCCACAGGCGUACAAUCUUACAGGAAUGCUGUGAGGUGGUUGUCAUGCCAAACACCCUUGAUGAAAUCAGAACAGCACCCAGGACAAUGCCUGUUAUGUCAUUACUCAAUCUAUAUUUAUUUAAGAAACCAGAGUGUAUGAAAGGAAGGAAGGAAGGAAGAGGAAAGGAAAGGA
Molecule: long non-coding RNA, 391 nt
Organism: Lontra canadensis (Northern American river otter)
Lineage: Eukaryota; Metazoa; Chordata; Mammalia; Carnivora; Mustelidae
Exons: 5
Source: RefSeq, a predicted model, not a curated record